CGGCACACGCAGGGGUCCUGCGGCCGGAGCUCCGGCAGCGGGUGAGAAAUACCCUCGGAACCUGAUGCGGGUAAUACCGCCGUAGGGAAGCGUGGCCACCGCCCCG
This 106-nucleotide non-coding RNA is filed under the name Betaproteobacteria bacterium. RNAcentral's name for it is "TPP sequence". It matches the Rfam family "TPP riboswitch aptamer (THI element)". From Rfam's summary of the family: Vitamin B(1) in its active form thiamin pyrophosphate (TPP) is an essential coenzyme that is synthesised by coupling of pyrimidine and thiazole moieties in bacteria. The previously detected thiamin-regulatory element, thi box was extended, resulting in a new, highly conserved RNA secondary structure, the THI element, which is widely distributed in eubacteria and also occurs in some archaea. Analysis of operon structures identified a large number of new candidate thiamin-regulated genes, mostly transporters, in various prokaryotic organisms. The record is from RNAcentral. Lineage: Bacteria; Pseudomonadati; Pseudomonadota; Betaproteobacteria.